GUUUGGUUUUGGCUCAGUGGUAGAAUGCUCGCCUGCCACGCGGGCGGCCCGGGUUCGAUUCCCGGCCGAUGCA
This 73-nucleotide transfer RNA is filed under the name Cordylochernes scorpioides. RNAcentral describes it as "tRNA-Gly". The stretch from base 10 to 65 matches the Rfam family "tRNA", at positions 8 to 63 of the family's 71-position model. From Rfam's summary of the family: Transfer RNA (tRNA) molecules are approximately 80 nucleotides in length. Their secondary structure includes four short double-helical elements and three loops (D, anti-codon, and T loops). Lineage: Eukaryota; Metazoa; Arthropoda; Arachnida; Pseudoscorpiones; Chernetidae. The record is from RNAcentral.